This 444-nucleotide ribosomal RNA is filed under the name uncultured prokaryote. RNAcentral's name for it is "bacterial SSU rRNA". It matches the Rfam family "Bacterial small subunit ribosomal RNA", at positions 338 to 774 of the family's 1533-position model. The record is from RNAcentral.
CCUACGGGGGCUGCAGUGGGGAAUAUUGCGCAAUGGGCGAAAGCCUGACGCAGCGACGCCUCGUGAGGGAUGAAGGUCUUCGGAUCGUAAACCUCUGUCAAGAGGGAAGAAACCCUUGAGCUCAAAUAGGGCUUGAGGCUGACGGUACCUCUAAAGGAAGCACCGGCUAACUCCGUGCCAGCAGCCGCGGUAAUACGGAGGGUGGAAGCGUUAAUCGGAAUCACUGGGCGUAACGCGCUCGUAGGCGGUUUGGUUAGUCAGAUGUGAAAGCCCUCGGCUUAACCGGGGAACUGCAUUUGAUACUGCCAGACUUGAGUGUCGGAGAGGGUGGCGGAAUUCCGGGUGUAGGAGUGAAAUCCGUAGAUAUCCGGAGGAACACCAGUGGCGAAGGCGGCCACCUGGACGACAACUGACGCUGAGGAGCGAAAGCGUGGGUAGCAAACA